Long non-coding RNA from Melanotaenia boesemani (Boeseman's rainbowfish), 873 nucleotides. RefSeq lists it as uncharacterized. Lineage: Eukaryota; Metazoa; Chordata; Actinopteri; Atheriniformes; Melanotaeniidae. The transcript has 2 exons. The record is from RefSeq and is a predicted model, not a curated record.
UCUAAACAUCAAAAACAAAUUGAAAUAGCCUAAAAUUGUAAACACUGCAUCAUCUUGUAGACCGUAGUAUUAAUUAAAAUGUAUAACUGAGGUAACAAACAACUUUAUUCUGACUUCUGUGGUUUUUGUUGCUGGUCAGUGGCUAUUUUUCAAACGCCCCCUGAACGCAACGCAGCAGCACUGGGCAGCAGGUGUAGGUUGUUACAUGAUGAAGUCAGAGGGGGUAUAAAAAGUGGGGCAGUAACUUCCGUUGUCUUCAUUUCUCUCUCAACCAGAAAAGCAAAUCAUCUCCCUGCAGAUACAACAACCGUCAAGAUGAACAACCUGCGCGUCGUUUUCUUCGCAGUUCUCCUGCUGGCUUUCCAUGUCUCAGUCCAGGUGGUCCACGCGCAGACAAGUACACUCCGUCCUCCUACUGCUACUACCAACAAAACCACCCCCCACAGCGGCUGCUGCGGGACCACCGCCUCCCUCAUGCUGCUGCUGCUGCCGCUGGCUUCUGCAGCGUCUCUGCUCAACGGAUGGCUGCAUUAACCGGACAGUUGGUGUCCCCCAAAGCUGGAUUGUGGGAGAAAUGUUACCCUAUCACGUCUUGGAAAUCCGUUUUCAUCAAGUAUUUUGGACUUAAAAAAUUCUGUUCUGAGAUUGAUGAGGCGCUCUUCAAUACGCCGCGUUCUUACUCGCCUAGUUUUUGCACGUGCUCGUCUCGGACUCCAAGGACUGAAUUUUCAAAUCAUAUUAACGUAAUUAUCUGUUGGAAAUGCGACGAUUGGCUACUGUGAAGUUGAAUGAUUGGAUAUGUAUUUGGAGAAUGUUUGUACUUGCGAUGGGACCUUUUUUAGAAUAUAGGAAGGAAAAUAAAGGCUUGGUGAC